Molecule: ribosomal RNA, 492 nt
Filed under: uncultured bacterium
Lineage: Bacteria
Description: partial 16S ribosomal RNA
Rfam family: Bacterial small subunit ribosomal RNA
Source: RNAcentral
CGUGAACGCUGGCGGUAGGCCUAACACAUGCAAGUCGAACGGCAGCACAGUAAGAGCUUGCUCUUACGGGUGGCGAGUGGCGGACGGGUGAGGAAUACAUCGGAAUCUACUUUUUCGUGGGGGAUAACGUAGGGAAACUUACGCUAAUACCGCAUACGACCUACGGGUGAAAGCAGGGGAUCUUCGGACCUUGCGCGAUUGAAUGAGCCGAUGUCGGAUUAGCUAGUUGGCGGGGUAAAGGCCCACCAAGGCGACGAUCCGUUGCUGGUCUGAGAGGAUGAUCAGCCACACUGGAACUGAGACACGGUCCAGACUCCUACGGGAGGCAGCAGUGGGGAAUAUUGGACAAUGGGCGCAAGCCUGAUCCAGCCAUACCGCGUGGGUGAAGAAGGCCUUCGGGUUGUAAAGCCCUUUUGUUGGGAAAGAAAAGCAGCAGGUUAAUACCCCGCUGUUCUGACGGUACCCAAAGAAUAAGCACCGGCUAACUUCGUG